This is a long non-coding RNA of Triticum aestivum (bread wheat), 716 nucleotides long. RefSeq lists it as uncharacterized. The transcript has 5 exons. NCBI's taxonomy places the organism in Eukaryota, Viridiplantae, Streptophyta, Magnoliopsida, Poales, Poaceae. The record is from RefSeq and is a predicted model, not a curated record.
AAAACUCUGGUCAGUUUUGUCGGGAUCUUGUGACACAGUUCCAGGACUCUAUUGACUAAGCCUCUUUCAGUUAGUACAAUGAUCAAGGAUCUCAUUUGAGUAUGGGUUUGCACAUCUGAGUGCUGGUGAUCUUCUUCGUGAAGAAGUUAAAGUGAUAUGGAGCAGAUUAAAAUUGACCAUGAGUUCGUACUAUUAAUUGAAGGCUCAAGGGAAGAGACAGCGGCAUAUUCUUCGUUGAAAUCAGGAAUGAAUUCCACUCGUUAUGCAAUACCACUAUGAGAAAAGUAGGGAAAUGCUGGACCUCUGCAAAAUGUGCUCGUUCACCUCGCGGUCUCACCCCCAAAACAGAGGAGAGGAGCAGGGAGCUCCUCUCUCACACUCGUCGGCUCCAAGGAGCUCCGCCGCCACAUAGGGCAAACCAAGGCUGCAACGUUUGAAUAUUAUACUUAUUCAGUUGCUCGACUACUUACAGUCCUAUUACUUGAGACUUAAUACUCGGUCAGCUGCCGUGUACAUUGUUCUGACAUAAAUGACACCAUGUCUAUGCGCAAGUCAGAAGGAACUUACCAUCUAAUAUGUCUAAUUAGUGUGGUACAUGCUUCAGUACUGCAAGUUGGAGUAGCAAGUAAGUAUACAUCAAAAGAAAGUACUGCUUCAGUACUACUCCCUCCGUUCCAAAAUAGAUGACUCGACUUUGAGUUAGUACAAAGUCGAGU